GAUAUGUUAAAAUAUGCUUGGUAUGCAGCAAAAUUAGUUGAAAAAAGAAAUGUAUUUUUAAACGUGAAUCAGGUUUCAUUUUCCGACAUUAUUAAAACUUCCAAAUGUAAUUGUGGGAUGGCUACAUUUGUACAGUGUUCUUGGUGCCAACAUAUUUUAUGUUUUCGAUGUUUUUAUGAUAAAUAUCAUAAUAAUGAUUGUAUAUCUAAUGAAAAAAAUUCUAUGUUAACUAAUAUAAUGCAAUACUUUAAAAUGUUUUAAUAAAUAAAAUCAAUUGUGCCUUUGAUUUAUUGCAAUAUCUUUCAGAAUUGAAUCAAAAUAUCUAUCUGUUUUGUAUUUACAUAAUUGUCGAUUUUUGAAAUGAG
RNAcentral lists this long non-coding RNA (365 nucleotides) under Androctonus crassicauda. The record is from RNAcentral. Lineage: Eukaryota; Metazoa; Arthropoda; Arachnida; Scorpiones; Buthidae.